This 268-nucleotide long non-coding RNA is filed under the name Elaeis guineensis (African oil palm). RNAcentral's name for it is "long non-coding RNA (EGUI_LNC081738)". Lineage: Eukaryota; Viridiplantae; Streptophyta; Magnoliopsida; Arecales; Arecaceae. The record is from RNAcentral.
GGGUCACACACAUUAGAGGUUCCUAUCUGAUCUGAUGGCUGAUGAAGAGUUCUAAUGCUCGUGGACUAUGAGUCCUAUAUGUCUGAAACUCUGUGAUCGAGAAUCAAGAUUCUCUGAUCAUGAGUCCCACAUAUUUUGGGUAUCGGGGUCAAGAGUCCCACUAGUUUCGGACUCUUCGAUCAGGGUUACAUAUCGAUGAAUUCUGAUGUCCGAUUACCCAUCAGAUUUGGACUCAAUAUUUAUGAGAGAUUUAAUUAGUGAUUUGAUC